This 301-nucleotide ribosomal RNA is filed under the name uncultured bacterium. Its description in RNAcentral is "partial 16S ribosomal RNA". It matches the Rfam family "Bacterial small subunit ribosomal RNA", at positions 509 to 807 of the family's 1533-position model. The record is from RNAcentral.
CAGUCGCCACGGUAAUACGUAGGGUGCGAGCGUUAAUCGGAAUUACUGGGCGUAAAGCGUGCGCAGGCGGUCGUGUAAGACAGGUGUGAAAUCCCCGGGCUUAACCUGGGAACUGCGCUUGUGACUGCACAGCUAGAGUAUGGCAGAGGGGGGUGGAAUUCCACGUGUAGCAGUGAAAUGCGUAGAGAUGUGGAGGAACACCGAUGGCGAAGGCAGCCCCCUGGGCCAAUACUGACGCUCAUGCACGAAAGCGUGGGGAGCAAACAGGAUUAGAUACCCCGGUAGUCCCUGUCUCUUAUAC